This is a long non-coding RNA of Oncorhynchus keta (chum salmon), 2795 nucleotides long. RefSeq lists it as uncharacterized. The record is from RefSeq and is a predicted model, not a curated record. The transcript has 6 exons. NCBI's taxonomy places the organism in Eukaryota, Metazoa, Chordata, Actinopteri, Salmoniformes, Salmonidae.
AGGUAGAUAGAGGUAGAUAGAGGUAGAUAGAGGGAUAGAGGUAGAUAGAAUUAGAUAGAGGGAUAGAGGUAGAUAGAGGGAUAGAGGUAGAUAGGGGGAUAGUGGUAGAUAGAUGGAUAGAGGUAGAUAGAUGGAUAGAGGUAGAUAGAGGUAUAGAGGUUGAUAGAGGUAGAUAGAGGGAUAUAGGUAGAUAGAGGUAGAUAGAGGGAUAUAGGUAGAUAUAGGGAUAGAGGUAGAUAGAGAGAUAGAGGUAGAUAGAGGGAUAGAGGUAGAUAGAGGGAUAUAGGGAUAGAGGUAGAUUGAGGUAGAUAGAGGUAGAUAGAGGUAGAGGGAUAAAGGUAGAUAGAGGGAAAGAGGUAGAUAGAGGUAGAUAGAGGGAUAGAGGUAGACAGAUGUAGAUAGAGGUAGACAGAGGUAGAUAGAGGGAUAGAGGUAGAUAGAGGGAUAGAGGUAGACAGAGGUAGAUUGAGGUAGAUAGAGGGAUAGAGGUAGAUAGGGGGAUAGUGGUAGAUAGAGGUAGAGAGAGGUAGAUAGGGUGAUAGAGGUAUAGAGAUGGAUAGAGUGAUAGAGGUAGAUAGAGGGAUUGAGGUAGAUAGAGGUAGAUAGGGGGAUAGUGGUAGAUAGAGGUAGAUAGGGUGAUAGAGGUAUAGAGAUGGAUAGAGUGAUAGAGGUAGAUAGGGUGAUAGAGGUAGAUAUAGGGAUACAGGGAUAGAGGUAGAUAGAGGGAUAGAGGUAGAACGAGGGACAGAGGUAGAUAGAGGGAUAGAGGUAGAUAGAAUUAGAUAGAGGUAGAUAGGGGGAUAGUGGUAGAUAGAGGGAUAGAGGUAGAUAGAUGGAUAGAGGUAGAUAGAGGGAUAGAGGUAUAGAGGUAGAUAGAGGUAGAUAGAGGUUGAUAGAGGUAGAUAUAGGUAGAUAGAGAGAUAGAGGUAGAUAGAGGGAUGGGGUAGAGAGAGGGAUAGAGGUAGAUAGAGGCAUAGAGGUAGAUAGAGGGAUAGCAGUAGAGAGAGGGAUAGAGGUAGAUAGAGGUAGAUAGAGGGAUAGAGGUAGAUAGAGGGAUAGAGGUAGCUAGAUGGAUAGAGGUAGAUAGUUGUUGAUAGAGGGAUAUAGGUAGAUAGAGGGAUAGAGGUAGAUAGAGGGAUAGAGGUAGAUAGAGGUAGAUAGAGGUAGAUAAAGGUAGAUAGAGGUAGAUAGAGGGAUAGAGGUAGAUGGUAGAUAGAGGGAUAAAGGUAGAUAGAGGGAAAGAGGUAGAUAGAGGGAUAGAGGUAGACAGAGGUAGAUAGAGGGAUAUAGGUAGAUAGAGGUAGGUAGAGGGAUAGAGGUAGAUAGAGGUAGAUAGAGGGAUAUAGGUAGAUAGAGGGAUAGAGGUAGAUAGAGGGAUAGAGUUAGAUAGAGGUAGAUAGAGGUAGAUAAAGGUAGAUAGAGGGAUAGAGGUAGAUGGUAGAUAGAGGGAUAAAGGUAGAUAGAGGGAAAGAGGUAGAUAGAGGUAUAGAGGUAGAUAGAGGGAUAGAGGUAGAUAGAGGGAUAGAGGUAGACAGAGGUAGAUAGAGGGAUAGAGGUAGAUAGAGGGAUAGAGGUAGACAGAGGUAGAUUGAGGUAGAUAGAGGGAUAGAGGUAGAUAGGGGGAUAGUGGUAGAUAGAGGUAGAGAGAGGUAGAUAGGGUGAUAGAGGUAUAGAGAUGGAUAGAGUGAUAGAGGUAGAUAGAGGGAUUGAGGUAGAUAGAGGUAGAUAGGGGGAUAGUGGUAGAUAGAGGUAGAUAGGGUGAUAGAGGUAUAGAGAUGGAUAGAGUGAUAGAGGUAGAUAGGGUGAUAGAGGUAGAUAGAGGUUGAUAGAGGGAUAGAGGUAGAUAGAGAGAUAGAGGUAGAUAGAGGGAUGGGGUAGAGAGAGGGAUAGAGGUAGAUAGAGGCAUAGAGGUAGAUAGAGGGAUAGCGGUAGAGAGAGGGAUAGAGGUAGAUAGAGGUAGAUAGCGGGAUAGAGGUAGCUAGAUGGAUAGAGGUAGAUAGAUGGAUAGAGGUAGAUAGAGGGAUAGAGGUAGAUAGGGGGAUAGAGGUAGAUAGAGGGAUAGAGGUAGAUAGAGGGAUAGAGGUAGAUAGAGGGAUAGAGGGAUGGAGGGAUAGAGGUAGGUAGAAAGAGAGAGGUAAGGGAUAGAGGGAUAGAGGUAGAUAGAGGGACAGAGGUAGAUAGAGGAUAGAGGUAGAUAGAUGGAUAGAGGUAGGUAGAGGUUGAUAGAGGGAUAUAGGUAGAUAGAUGGAUAGAGGUUGAUAGAGGUCGAUAGAGGGAAAGAGGUCGAUAGAGGGAUAGAGGUAGAUAGAGGUAGAUAUAGGGAUAGAGGUAGAUUGAGGUAGAUAGAGGGAUAGAGGUAGAUAGAGGUAGACAGAGGAAUAUAGGUAGAUAUAGGGAUAGAGGUAGAUAUAGGGAUAGAGGUAGAUAGAGGUAGAUAGAGGUAGAUAGAGGUAUAGAGGUAGAUAGAGGUAGAUAGAGGUAGAUAGAGGGAUAGAGGUAGAUAGAGGGAUAGAGGUAGUUAGAGGGAUAGAGGUAGAUAGAGGGAUAUAGGUAGAUGGAGGGAUAGAGUUAGAUAGAGGUAGAUAGAGGUAGCUAAAGGUAGAUAGAGGAAUAGAGGUAGAUAGAGGGAUAGAGGUAGAUAGAGGGAUGAAGGUAGAUAGAGGUAUAGAGGUAGAUAGAGGUAGAUAGAAGUAUAGAGGUAGAUAGAGGUAGAUAGAGGGAUAGAGGUAGAUAGAGGGAUAGAGGUAGAUAGAGGGAUAGAGGUAGAUAGAGGUAGAUAGAGGGAUAGAGGUAGA